UAAUACGAAGGGUGCAAGCGUUGUUCGGAUUUAUUGGGCGUAAAGGGCGCGUAGGCGGAUCUAUAAGUCAGAUGUGAAAGCCCAGGGCCUAACCCUGGAACUGCGUCUGAAACUACAGAUCUAGAAUCUCGGAGAGGAAAGGAGAAUUUCGCAUGUAGGGGUAAAAUCCGUAGAGAUGCGAAGGAAUACCGGAAGUGAAAACGCCUUUCUGGACGAGUAUUGACGCUGAGGCGCGAAAGCGUGGGGAGCAAACAGG
RNAcentral lists this ribosomal RNA (256 nucleotides) under uncultured bacterium. RNAcentral describes it as "partial 16S ribosomal RNA". It matches the Rfam family "Bacterial small subunit ribosomal RNA", at positions 521 to 776 of the family's 1533-position model. The record is from RNAcentral.